UCUCCGUAGGUGAACCUGCGGAGGGAUCACUACAGAGUUCAUGCCCUACCGGGUAGAUCUCCCACCCUAUGUUAUUAUUACUUUGCUGCUUUGGCGGGCCGUUAGGCUCCGGCCCGACUACCGGCCCCGGCUGGUAAGCGCCCGCCAGAGGACCCAAAACCCUGAAUAUUAGUGUCGUCUGAGUACUAUAUAAUAGUUAAAACUUUCAACAACGGAUCUCUUGGUUCUG
Molecule: unclassified non-coding RNA, 229 nt
Filed under: plant metagenome
Description: partial contains small subunit ribosomal RNA, internal transcribed spacer 1, and 5.8S ribosomal RNA
Source: RNAcentral